Myotis brandtii (Brandt's bat) is the source of this 239-nucleotide long non-coding RNA. RefSeq lists it as uncharacterized. The record is from RefSeq and is a predicted model, not a curated record. The transcript has 3 exons. NCBI's taxonomy places the organism in Eukaryota, Metazoa, Chordata, Mammalia, Chiroptera, Vespertilionidae.
CAGUGCCCCCAGCAGACCUACAACUUCCAGAUGCUGAGAGAAAAGCCCUUGAUUCAGGCUGAAUGCACAGAUGAUAUUCACGAAAAUGCAGAUGGCACAUUAGAGAACUUUGCAAAAGGAAAUGAGCUUACCGUACAGUGGAAGAGAUUGUGUUUGCACACAUCUCUCAAGUGUUAAGGUUCUCUUUCUGCGGUUUCAGUACCCCCGCAUCAACCAUGGUCCAAAAAUAUUAAAUGGAA